UGGGGAAUUUUGGACAGUGGGCGAAAGCCUGAUCCAGCAAUGCCGCGUGCAGGAUGAAGGCCUUCGGGUUGUAAACUGCUUUUGUACGGAACGAAACGGUCCUUUCUAAUACAAGGGGCUAAUGACGGUACCGUAAGAAUAAGCACCGGCUAACUACGUGCCAGCAGCCGCGGUAAUACGUAGGGUGCGAGCGUUAAUCGGAAUUACUGGGCGUAAAGCGUGCGCAGGCGGUUUUGUAAGACAGAUGUGAAAUCCCCGGGCUCAACCUGGGACCUGCAUUUGUGACUGCAAGGCUAGAGUACGGUAGAGGGGGAUGGAAUUCCGCGUGUAGCAGUGAAAUGCGUAGAUAUGCGGAGGAACACCGAUGGCGAAGGCAAUCCCCUGGACCUGUACUGACGCUCAUGCACGAAAGCGUGGGGAGCAAACAGGAUUAGAUACCCUGGUAGUCCACGCCCUAAACGAUGUCAACUGGUUGUUGGGUCUUCACUGACUCAGUAACGAAGCUAACGCGUGAAGUUGACCGCCUGGGGAGUACGGCCGCAAGGUUG
RNAcentral lists this ribosomal RNA (548 nucleotides) under uncultured prokaryote. RNAcentral's name for it is "bacterial SSU rRNA". It matches the Rfam family "Bacterial small subunit ribosomal RNA", at positions 355 to 896 of the family's 1533-position model. The record is from RNAcentral.